Molecule: ribosomal RNA, 764 nt
Filed under: Staphylococcus aureus
Lineage: Bacteria; Bacillati; Bacillota; Bacilli; Caryophanales; Staphylococcaceae
Description: partial 23S ribosomal RNA
Rfam family: Bacterial large subunit ribosomal RNA
Source: RNAcentral
GAGUUACGAUUUGAUGCAAGGUUAAGCAGUAAAUGUGGAGCCGUAGCGAAAGCGAGUCUGAAUAGGGCGUUUAGUAUUUGGUCGUAGACCCGAAACCAGGUGAUCUACCCUUGGUCAGGUUGAAGUUCAGGUAACACUGAAUGGAGGACCGAACCGACUUACGUUGAAAAGUGAGCGGAUGAACUGAGGGUAGCGGAGAAAUUCCAAUCGAACCUGGAGAUAGCUGGUUCUCUCCGAAAUAGCUUUAGGGCUAGCCUCAAGUGAUGAUUAUUGGAGGUAGAGCACUGUUUGGACGAGGGGCCCCUCUCGGGUUACCGAAUUCAGACAAACUCCGAAUGCCAAUUAAUUUAACUUGGGAGUCAGAACAUGGGUGAUAAGGUCCGUGUUCGAAAGGGAAACAGCCCAGACCACCAGCUAAGGUCCCAAAAUAUAUGUUAAGUGGAAAAGGAUGUGGCGUUGCCCAGACAACUAGGAUGUUGGCUUAGAAGCAGCCAUCAUUUAAAGAGUGCGUAAUAGCUCACUAGUCGAGUGACACUGCGCCGAAAAUGUACCGGGGCUAAACAUAUUACCGAAGCUGUGGAUUGUCCUUUGGACAAUGGUAGGAGAGCGUUCUAAGGGCGUUGAAGCAUGAUCGUAAGGACAUGUGGAGCGCUUAGAAGUGAGAAUGCCGGUGUGAGUAGCGAAAGACGGGUGAGAAUCCCGUCCACCGAUUGACUAAGGUUUCCAGAGGAAGGCUCGUCCGCUCUGGGUUAGUCGGGUCCUAA